GUUCGGCUUCUUUGGCGCGCAAGUAUAAAACAAUGAACAGACGCAACUGUGGCCCACUAGACUAGAGAUACUUUCUCUUCUGAGCUCGCUCAUCGGACUGAGAAAAGAGAGGAGCCAAAAUGGAACCCGUUCGGUCUCAGAGGAAAUUGAUCGUCAACGACGUCGUCUCGACCCUCCCUCUCUACCGUUCUGCUCCGGCCCUUGAAGUUCGUCUCGAAGAGUUCGAGCUUUUCGCCCUCGAUCGCCUCCGAGUGCUUAAAGGGAUUUCUGAUGCAUUAUCACGAGGAAGGAAACCUGAAGAAAUGGACAAAUUGGCAAUUGAUCUAUGGAAGACAAAUAUUAGGCAUCCUCAGUCUUCUGAGGUCAUCAACAAGGACAUAAUAUCACACUUUGUUCUGCGUCUAGUUUAUUGCAGAACGGAGGACCUGAGGAAAUGGUUUCUUUCCAUGGAGACGGCCCUAUUUCGUUACCGGUUUAAACGGGAAAAGCAAGAAGCUCAGAGGGCACUCAUGGCAGAAUUUGAUCUUCCAUACAAGGCAGUUAGUAGUUCAGAAUUCGAGAGUGUAAAAGAGAAAUUGGUCCUGGUUUCACGUUCCCUCGGUCAAUCUUCACCAACUGCUGAUGACAUCUUCUUCAAGGUACCAUUUGAAGAAGUUCCAGAACUUGUAGCUGGUCGUAGAGUGUUCAUCAGUAAGGGGCAUGCAUAUAUAGCUAUGAGUCAGGUGGUUUCCCUUGUUGCCACACAAUUCCGCAGUCAUCUGUCAAAGGCACUUAUUUUGACAAACAGAAAAUGGACUACAACUAUAGCAGAACAAGAGAAGGAUCGGUUGACUCCCAUUGUUGAAGCCCUAUCCUCAAGUUACCUGGGACCUGACUAUUCUCAGCCAAAAGAAUUUGCUCAGAUUUCCUUAAAAGACAUUGAUGAUGUAGCUAAGAGCUCCUUUCCUCUGUGCAUGCGUCACCUAUUUGAAAAGUUGAGAGAGGAUCAUCAUUUAAAGCAUGGAGGUAGAAUGCAACUAGGUCUCUUCCUCAAGGGUGUUGGCUUGAAGCUGGAUGAUGCCCUUGCGUUUUGGAAAGCUGAGUUCUCACGAAAGGUUGGUGCCGAAAGGUUUGACAAAGAAUAUUCAUAUAGCAUACGCCACAAUUACGGAAGAGAAGGGAAAAGAACGGAUUACACACCUUAUUCCUGUCAAAAAAUCAUCUCUUCUACUCCUGGUGUAGGAGAUCAUCAUGGAUGCCCGUAUCGAAAUUUCAGUGAAGAGAAUUUGAGAGCAGCUCUCAAUAAAAUGGGAGUUACUGGCCGUGCAGUUGGAGAUGUCAUGGACAAAGUGCGAAACAGACAUUAUCAGCUGGCAUGCACCUUGACGUUUGAAGCUGUUCAUGGGUCAUCAUGCGAUGCUGGGAUUAACCAUCCAAAUCAAUACUUUUCUGACAGCCAAAAGAUUAUGCAGUCCAAGUGUGCCUAAUUGAUGCAUAUAAGCAUGCAGUAAAAAAGAUGCUGAAGUUACGUUUUGAAAGCUUGCCUAAGAACCAGUCUGCAGCUUGAGGAGAGCUUUUGGGCAUUGUCAUUCCAGACAGAGGUACCUCGCUCUAAAUAGUCUACUUAAGUUAGUGCUGUUUGUGCAAGUGAAGGACACACCCAACCCAAAUGCAAAUAACAGAGCAUCGAGCCAAAGUGGACCCAAAAUUUUGAUUGUUCUAUCCAUAUCUUUCCACUCAAGUAAAGCCUUUAAAGUCGCUCUUCUGCCCUAAAGUAGGCCAUGCAUUAUGGUUUUUCUACACAUAGAAAUGGCAGAGCUGGUGGCCCCACCUUUCCUUUCCCGGCAUAAAGGCUGGGUUUUGCUUUACACUGAAAAAUAUGUAAUUUAGUAUUAUUUAGAAUCGCAUCUUCAUGUGAAAAUUCGGACCUCUGGAUAAGAAUAGUGCAUGGUGUGGCAUAUUCUCUGUUUUCGUUCGUCUGAUUUUGGGUGCUCAAUGAGGAAAUAGCAUCACCUGGAUCAGAUUGAACGUAAUCUUGUUGACGAGAAAGGGGUUGGUUCUAUUCUAGCAAGUGUUGCAAACAUGGCUCCAGCACAAAUUUGGUGUAUAGGUUUGAUUGAUCAGA
Molecule: non-coding RNA, 2104 nt
Organism: Prunus avium (sweet cherry)
Lineage: Eukaryota; Viridiplantae; Streptophyta; Magnoliopsida; Rosales; Rosaceae
Source: RefSeq, a predicted model, not a curated record